GACGAACGCUGGCGGCGUGCUUAACACAUGCAAGUCGAACGGAAAGGCCCUGCUUUUGUGGGGUGCUCGAGUGGCGAACGGGUGAGUAACAAGUGAGUAACCUGCCCUUGACUUUGGGAUAACUUCAGGAAACUGGGGCUAAUAACGGAUAGGAGCUCCUGCUGCAUGGUGGGGGUUGGAAAGUUUCGGCGGUUGGGGAUGGACUCGCGGCUUAUCAGCUUGUUGGUGGGGUAGUGGCUUACCAAGGCUUUGACGGGUAGCCGGCCUGAGAGGGUGACCGGCCACAUGGGGACUGAGGGACGGCCCAGACGCCUACGGGAGGCAGCAGUGGGGAAUAUUGCGCAAUGGGCGGAAGCCUGAUGCAGCAACGCCGCGUUCGGGAUGACGGCCUUCGGGUUGUAAACCGCUUUCGCCUGUGACGAAGCGUGAUUGACGGUAAUGGGUAAAGAAGCACCGGCUAACUACGUG
This 468-nucleotide ribosomal RNA is filed under the name uncultured bacterium. Its description in RNAcentral is "partial 16S ribosomal RNA". It matches the Rfam family "Bacterial small subunit ribosomal RNA", at positions 28 to 507 of the family's 1533-position model. The record is from RNAcentral.